Oncorhynchus mykiss (rainbow trout) is the source of this 2768-nucleotide non-coding RNA. The record is from RefSeq and is a predicted model, not a curated record. NCBI's taxonomy places the organism in Eukaryota, Metazoa, Chordata, Actinopteri, Salmoniformes, Salmonidae.
AUAGUGAACUACUUUAGACCAGAGCCCUAUGGAACCCUAUUCCCUAUGUAGUGAACUACUUUAGACCAGAGCCCUACAGAACCCUAUUCCCUAUAUAGUGAACUACUUUAGACCAGGGCCCUAUGCAGGCUCUUGUCAAAAAGUAUUGCAGACCUCCCAACCUGCGUGCAGUUUGCGUAACAUAGUCCAAAGUACUCUGGUAUGAAAAACAACCUUAAAAUACAUAUGAACAGGCUUCUAGUUGGCAGAAUUAGUGUGGUUUUUUUGUUGACUCGACUGUCUGACGUUGGAGCUGAGCCAAUCAGGGGACUUGGGCGAAUAGAACAGAUUUUUAGCUUUCCCCCCUCCAGCAAGAUGGCAGCUCUCCACUUGGUCUGUUGAUAUCACUGAUGGAUGAGGGAAAAAAACGGCAUGAAAACAUUUCCCGAAAUUGUAUGGUGUUAGUCAAGCACGUAACUAUUAUUUCGUAGUUGGCUCCUUCGCUAAGGGGUCACUACGUCGAAGGUAGUUGGCUCCUUCGCUAAGGGCUCACUACGGCGAGGGUAGUUAGCUCCUUCGCUGAGGGCUCACUACGGCGAAGGUAGUUGGCUCCUUCGCUGAGGGCUCACUACGGCGAAGGUAGUUAGCUCCUUCGUUGAGGGCUCACUACGGCGAGGGUAGUUAGCUCCUUCGCUGAGGGCUCACUACGGCGAAGGUAGUUGGCUCCUUCGCUGAGGGCUCACUACGGCGAAGGUAGUUAGCUCCUUCGUUGAGGGCUCACUACGGCGAGGGUAGUUAGCUCCUUCGCUGAGGGCUCACUACGGCGAAGGUAGUUGGCUCCUUCGCUGAGGGCUCACUACGGCGAAGGUAGUUGGCUCCUUCGCUGAGGGCUCACUACGGCGAAGGUAGUUAGCUCCUUCGCUGAGGGGUCACUACGGCGAAGGUAGUUAGCUCCUUCGCUGAGGGCUCACUACGGCGAAGGUAGUUAGCUCCUUCGCUAAGGGGUCACUACGGCGAAGGUAGUUAGCUCCUUCGCUGAGGGCUCACUACGGCGAAGGUAGUUGGCUCCUUCGCUGAGGGCUCACUACGGCGAAGGUAGUUGGCUCCUUCGCUGAGGGGUCACUACGGCGAAGGUAGUUAGCUCCUUCGCUGAGGGCUCACUACGGCGAAGGUAGUUAGCUACAGCGUUUAGUCAACUAAGCGAGAACUUUCUUGCCUGGACAUUUUGAUUUCCGUCAUGGUAGUAGGUCGGGAGCGCAUUAACGAGAAAAGGGGAACGUGCGGUGUUGCUGAAGUUCAGCGCGCGUCGCUGUGUGGAUGGAAACAGACAUGGCAGAGAGCUGCUGUUUCCCCGCUGAUACCGUCCUUCGUAGAAAGUUAUGUCAGACUGUUAAACAUUAGCAGGCAUUAUGUUAACGACUACAUUGCAUCCAGUAAUUUCAUUAUUCUGAAUUUUCUCCACAAACAAAAUGAAGAAGCCCGUUUACAUUUGAGUGACUAUGGACAUAAAGACAGUUAUUUGUUAGAAUAGUCGUUACUGGGGUGGCGCAGUGUAAAUGGUCUUAAGGCUGUGCCACCAGAGAUUCUGGGUUCAAAUCCAGACUGUCACUGCCGGCUGUGACCAGGAGACCCAUGGGGCUGCGCACAAUUGGCCCAGCGUCGUCCGGGUUAGGGGAGGGGUUUGGCCGGGCAGGGAUGUCCUUGUCCCAUCGCGCUCUAGCGGCUCCUCUGGCAGACCGGGCGCAGUGCACGCUGACACGGUCGCCAGGUGUACGGCGUUUCCUCCGACACAUUGGUGCGGUUUGGCUUCCGGGUUAAGUGGGCGUUGUGCCAAGAAGCGGUGCGGCUUGGUUGUGUUUCGGAGGACGCACGGCUCUCAACCUUCGCCUCUCCCGAGUCCGUACGGGAGUUGCAGGGAUGAGACUGUAAACUACCAAACGACUGUCAUUACCCCUAAAUUGAACCUAGAAAAAUGUGUUAUUGAGACCACCACAAUUUAAUUUAAGAGCAAACACAAUACUUCUUGUUUGAUUAUAAUUUAAGACUAGGUUUCAGGAGAUGAGUUACAGGUUUUUCAAAAAAUGCUCCAAUUUCCUGAGGGGGAAGUUGACUGACCCCCCCCCCCCCCCCCCCCCCCCCCCCACCACCCCAACCUUAGUCCUACAUCAGCCCCACCUUGUCAGAAAGCCCUGAUUUUGUACAUUUUAAAUGUAUUUCUAGUUGGCUAGUGAAAGAAAAACAGCUAAUUACCAAGUACCCAUAGCUGGCUAUCGCCUACAAUUCCUCUUGAGGCAUCCAACAUCAUUGUUAGGCUAAAAUCGGAUUUGUUAGGCCUAUGAUUUGAGCAGUCUGGGUGCCGUUGGGGUCUAGUGUCGCCACAGCGCUGAAGUGGUACUCAUUUAAAAAAAAUAAUAAAAAUAUUCAGUUGUAGUGAACUAUGCGGGCCCUGGUCUAAACUAUAUAGGGACUAGGGUACUGUUUUGGACACAUCACUGUACAGUUCCUCAACCUCCUGUGUGUUGUUCUUUUUAGGUGGUGUGUCGCACACAUUAAAAGAAUAACCAUUUUGUUGUGGCAAAAUUCUUCUAUAGAAAUAGAUGGAGAAAAAAAAGCUAAACUUUUACAGUUUCGAUGUGAGAUCACAACAACAAAAAAACUAUUUUUUCAACAUAUUGCCUUUUCAACGAUCGUUCUAAAAAAAAAUUUCUAUUUUAAUAUUUUACUUGUUACAUGACAUGUACAUAUUUGUAAUAUAUAAUUGAAUAAAUUUUAUUGGUUGUGAAUUAAAA